AUCUCCUCGGCUUUGAGUUUCUCCUCCUCGCGCAUCUCGUGGUCCGACUCGAGGGCGUCGAACACGGCGGCGCCCACCAGCAGCCACCCGGCGCGGGAGCGUGUCAUUGGCCAGGGACAUGGCCUCGUGGAGUGGUGGGGUCCCGAGGGCUGCCUCGGCCCCCUCGCCUCCCAGCGGCACAGCCCGCUUGGGCCAGCACCUGCAGACCCGAGUCGUUUCCCUGGAGAGCGCUAAGGACAGCAUGGGCCGCCACUUUUGGAGUCAGGACAGCGGGGAAAGACAUCGCAAUCCCCCGACCCAGUAACCUCUCUGUUGCUUUACUGAAGGAAAAAAAAAAAAUACACACACACACACACACACACACACACACACACACACACACACAUAUAUAUAUAUAUAUAUAUAUAUAUAAUCACUCUUUGAUAUAUAUAAUCACUCUUUGGUUCCCCACAGCUGGGCGCAAGGUGCGCCGUGGAUGCAGCCCUGAGCCACGCGAUAGCCCCCUCGAGACCACCUGGGGUAGGAACACGAGGCUCGGGCUGGGGCGCACCUAUUCCCUGCUUCCAGAUGAGCCCUCUCCAGGCUUUAUCUCCUUCCCAUUUUGGCCUCCUUUACCUCCUCCCCCUCCCCGCCCUCUCCCUUUAGGCUAUCGAGGGGCUUUUCCUUGACCUUCGGCUUCCUGAAUCCCGCCUGGAGCCCUGGAGCUCCAAAAGGACAGACCCAAGCCUCAGAGACCCCUGGGCUCCUCUUCCUCUCCUGACCCCAGCCAAGGAAGGGAUGGAGAUGGGAAAGAGUUGCCUGGCGGCAGGCUAGCAGCUGGCCAAGGGGUGGCUGGGGAAUCAGACCUAACCCUCGGGCAGCUCGCGGGCUCCAGGAGACCAGUCCCUUCUGUGGGUCGCCCCCUGGAGCGGUGCUCGGGCUCCCUGGCCUCAGGGACCCCGGGCCCAGAGGGUCUGGGACCCCAGUGAUUCACCGAGGCCUCCCAGCUGGGACGCUCUGCACCCCACUUUCAGGGAUCACGGGUGCCCACCAGGGAAGGGGAGCCCGCGCUGUGGGCUACGUCUGAGCCGUCAGGUCCUCGCUGGGUCUGCGGGCGCCCUGGGGCGAGGGAGCGGGGAGCCCUACCCCGAGCAGGCACUCUCCCCAGAUUCAUUUUGGAAACCAAGGCCCCCGCGCUCGGCAAGUGAGCCUGGCUGCCGGGUGAGUCACCGCGAGCGGGCGACAAGGAUUCCCAGCAGCUGAUGGGAAAACUUCCAGCAAGACAGGAUCACGUGCCCAGGAUCCCACAGUGAUUCCGAUGUGGAGCCAGCCCUGGAAGCCUCUCCGUGGCUUAAGGACCCCCGCUGCUUUCUGGCCCCAAGCUUAGAGUGCCUUGAGUGGCCACCUACCAGCCCCCAGACCCUGGUUCUUCCUCUCUUCCACCCGUGGGAAUAGACCCGUGGACUCAGGACCUCCCAGGCAGUGUCUGAGCCGUGGAAGCAGAGGGUUCCUCGUCCGCCCGUCCACACCCCACAUGUGCCACUUUCCAAGGCGCUGGACCUGCGGGUGGAAUGGGAGCUCCUGGGAGCAAAGCCUGGGGCUCAAUCAAGCAUCCUCCCUACAUCCCCAGCAUCCAUCCCGGAUGGUGUGUGCCACACAGCAGCCCAGAGAGUCUGGCUGGGGGCAGCGCCUCUGCGUGCCUGCCUCCCUGGCAGCCCGGGUGGGUCUGGGUGUCCCAACUCUAGCCCCACCUCGAGAAGCGUGUGGAACUGAGGUGUGGCCAAUCAGAGUCCAGAAUUCCCCAGAGCCACGGUGAUUGGCUGGAUUUGGACGUGUGAAGGCCCACCUCAACCAAUCAGAGCCCUCCUCUGGGUAGGGCUGUCAGCAGAUAGGUGACCUGAGGAGGGAGGCGGGUCCUUCCCGACUCUUUGAGAACCCCAAUGCAGGCACGUGGCGCACACGCGAGCCACCCAACUGGGGUGAGCAAGUGCAUUCUCUUGUGGGCUUAAGCCACAGUCAGUUGGUCCCAAGCCUGUCCGGUGCUCCUGGUGCCCAUGCGCUGUGUUUACAGCCUGUCUGCGCCCUCCAGCAGCCCCAACAUGGGCCUCCCUUGGACCUCAGUUUCUGUAAAAACAGAUGUACCUUAUUAGCUAAUAAAGAACAUCAUGGUUUUAUAACU
RNAcentral lists this long non-coding RNA (2158 nucleotides) under Homo sapiens (human). RNAcentral's name for it is "HSALNT0350475". The record is from RNAcentral. Lineage: Eukaryota; Metazoa; Chordata; Mammalia; Primates; Hominidae.